This is a long non-coding RNA of Ornithorhynchus anatinus (platypus), 1239 nucleotides long. RefSeq lists it as uncharacterized. The record is from RefSeq and is a predicted model, not a curated record. NCBI's taxonomy places the organism in Eukaryota, Metazoa, Chordata, Mammalia, Monotremata, Ornithorhynchidae. The transcript is spliced from 4 exons.
CUGGGUGCUCACAGUCCCGUCUCCGGAGUCACUCUGUCCAUCCUCGGUCUCUCACGAAGGGACGCUUCUGUGUCUGGCAGUCGCUUCUGGGGAGGAGAGAGGCAGGGAAGGUCACUGUCUUUAGGAUUGUCUUUAGAGCAACUGAAUUAGGGGGAGGUUCAGUGUAAGACAAUUUGGAUGUAAAGUGAAUGAGUUGCCUAGAGGCUGGAGAGCUGAAAAUGCAGGCAUGAGUACUGUUGAGGUUUUAUUGUUCAUCUUUGGAGACAAGGUUAUCAGCCCUGCAAGUGUGAGACUUUCUUUUGGGAGAGAGGGGUCCAGUGCAGCAGUAGGGUAGAGCAUAGUGAACAGCUCUGUCAGUGGACUUGCUUUGCACCUCUGUAGCAGCCACCAAGGAACCUUUUUUUCCAUUUCUGUAAGGGGAUGCUCAUAGCAGAGUGAUUCUUCAGUGUUGAGUGUAUGUGUGUGUGUGUGUGUGUGUGUGUCCACCCCCUUUUUGUCUAGCGCCCUAUAUCCUCCUCCCUGAGUUGGGGUAGGGAAUCUAGAAAGGACAAAUAGUUGUAGGUAUUGCAGGUUUGUUCCCCUCAGCCCCGUUUUUUUUAUGGAGCACUUACCCUAGAGACCUCUUGUUAACUGGGUGGAGGCCUUAGGAAGCCUAGGGGUGGGGGAGAGAAGAAUGGGGAAUGCCAGGUGCCUGAAGGGGUCAUCUCGUGCGUCUUCAACAGUUGGUCGAUAUGGGGGGCCAGAGGUGGAGGAAUGUGUCGUUUUAGAGAAACUGACUUUGCAUUUCUUCCCAUUUCCUUCUGAGCCUCCAGAAGUAACCCCCGGGCUUGGACCUUCCAGCUUUUGUGGCAAAGAGGAAAGUCGGUGUGAAUCGGGCCCUGGGACCAUCUGAAACAUCUCCUGGCAGUGGAUGUCAACCAGGUGUCUUUCCAGCCCCGAGGACAAUCCCUCUGCUGUUCUGGACCAUCCCGUUAAAUCUCAGAUCUGCCCUGCCAUUGAGAUGUAGCUGCGGGCUGUACUGCUCCCUCCAAGGGAAGCCCUCAGGAGCACUAUGGGAUCUCCUCCACGUCUGCCCUGAUGCCACCGAGCCCUGUUGUGAGGGAAUGGGGGCCUCUGGACCGUUAUGAAGAUCUCAACAGCCCCCAGGAGCACGAUCAGAUCCUCUCCAUGUUUGCUGACAGGCCACAGAGUGCUGCUGUGGGGGAAUCUGGGCCCUAGGACCCCUUCCACCUUCUUGCA